GCAUGAAAGAUAGCUCAGUCAGUAGAGCAUCAGACUCUUAAUGUCAGUGUUGUGGGUUUGAGCCCCACGUUGGGCA
Podarcis lilfordi (Lilford's wall lizard) is the source of this 76-nucleotide non-coding RNA. The record is from the annotation of a GenBank genome assembly. NCBI's taxonomy places the organism in Eukaryota, Metazoa, Chordata, Lepidosauria, Squamata, Lacertidae.